This 2478-nucleotide long non-coding RNA is filed under the name Homo sapiens (human). RNAcentral's name for it is "HSALNT0095910". The record is from RNAcentral. Lineage: Eukaryota; Metazoa; Chordata; Mammalia; Primates; Hominidae.
CCUAGUGAGAUGAACCCGGUACCUCAGAUGGAAAUGCAGAAAUCACCGUCUUCUGCGUCGCUCAUGCUGGGAGCUGUAGACCGGAGCCGUUCCUAUUCGGCCAUCUUGGCUCCUCCAGGCCCUUAAAAUUAUAUUUCUUUCAUACUAAAGUGUGGGAGGAAAUAUGGGUAUCACCUUCCUGGCGAUUUCCCAUGGCUGGGACCUCUUAGGAAGCAGUCUCCCUAGAGUAUUUCAAAAUAAUUAUGAAAUACCUACUUCCUGUCGAAAGGUGUCCCUCCUAUUUACUCUGAGUUUUCAUAAAUAAUUUACAAUACAAAAGUAUUUGAUGGUGUGACAUUUUAAAGACAAGGAACAGAAUGAUUCCUAAAGGCUCCUCCAUAUCUAUAACAUUUUAAAAAAUCAACCGAUUGCUGUUUGUAAUCUCUCCCUGAUUUUGCUGCAAAUGACUAAUCUUAGUAUUUUCCUUCUUGUUGCAGUUCUCACCUUGAUGAUUUUAUAAAUACCUGUGCAAUCAUUUAAGGAUGCUGUUAUAACUUGCUAUCACAGGAUUCAGGUCCAAGAACCCUCUCUUAGGAUCUGCACUGGGACCUACCCCUUUUUGGCAACAUGUUCUUGGCAACCACGAAGGGACUAUCCUGAGGAGAUCCCUGACCCAAAGGAAAUAGACUGCAGAACCAAUUGGCUGACUUUGGGGCGACCAUCUUGCCCAGACACCACAUGCUGAAACACUUGGUCGGAAGGAUCAUUCCACCCCACUUUGAGUGGAUCAAAGAUGACAAGGCCCAAGUAGGGGCAAGUUUGAGCCUGGCCAGUUCAAUAUUGGGUGCUAACUGGAGUGGCUAAUGUCUAUGUUUUGUCACACGUAUUUUGCUCUGCUCAGAAUGGAAGAAGAUGGUUUUCCUUUGUGUUGCGGUUUGGCCCCCAGGGCUGUGGUGUGGCGAGCCAAGUCACUAGGGCUGCCCAAGGAAAGGGAACACAGAAGCCUGGCGUGCUGGCAAAAGGGUGGGAAUUUCUUACCAGUCAGGCUUUGGGCCUCCCUGUGUGCAUAACUGGUUGAAUAAAUGGCAAAAAUAACUGUUCAUCCCCUCUGUAAAGUUUUGAUUAAUGGGAAAAGAAUUUGUGAGGUACGUCUGAAGCUGUAGCAAAUCUGGUGUACUUUGUGCUAUAAAUUUAUCUUCCUGUAUUGUACUGCCAUAAAGAGGAGUACCUUAGGAUAGAACAUGGGCUUAGGACCCCAUAAGCCCACUGUUAAAGCCAGCCUGGCAAGUUGGUCAGUAACAAACUUUGCUGCAGGUCCCUGAAACAAACAAGCAAAAACAACUGAAUGAAGUUUCCUUCUCGUCUUGUUUUAUGUCCUUGGAAGCUUGAGCUUGUGACCAUAUGGCAGUACUUUCUUUUAGUCUCUGCUUAUCCAGAGGACAGGAAUUUAGGGGUUCAUGUUGUAGUUAGCCCCAAAAAUUACCUCAAGCAGUUAAAAGCCUUUGCAAGCUCAAAAUUGGCUGCUCUAGACUCCCUCUGGGAAGAGCAAUGGAAAUUGCCCAGUGCUGUGGCUUAGUAGCUAAGGCUUUGUCUUUUCACAAUGACGGCCUGGGUUCAGGGUUCAAUUCCCAGCUUAGGGAAUGGGUCCUUUCUGGCUUAAUAUCUGUGUGACCUUUACCAUUUGUUGAUUCUCUUCUCCUCCAUGAACUACUUCUGGCUUCAUUUCUUGAAUCUUCCUUUCUCUGAGCUACCUGUGGAGAUUCUAAAUCUUGUAAAAACUGCUAACCACCUCUUUGAAAAGAACUUGUCCAUUCAUGGUCAAAUCAUAACCUUAGUUAAGCCUUAUUGGUUUCACCUGUGAGUUUAUUUUUGGUAAAGUUUAAAAGCCAGAAAUAUUGGCUGUUUUGCCCAGCUAAAGUAGGGUGUAUUUGUCUGGUUUUACACUGAUAUAAAGAACUUCCCUGAGACUGGGUAAUUUAUAAAGGAAAGAGCUUUAAUUGACUCACAGUUUGGCAUGGCUUCAGAGGCCUCAGGAAACUUACAAUCAUGGCAGAAGGCAAAAGGGAAGCAAGGAACCUUCUUCACAUGGCAGCAGGAGAGAAUGCAGGAGGAACUGCCAAACACUUUUAAAGCAUCAGAUCUUGUGAGAACUUACCGUCAUGAGAACAGCAUGAUCCAAUCACCCACCACUAGGUCCCUCACUCAACACAUGGGGAUUAAAAUUCAAGAUGAGAAUUGGGUGGCAACAUAGAGCCAAAACAUCUCAUAGGAUAGUAAUAAGAGAUUUAAAAGGAUUUUAUUUUUUAAGGAGUACUACGGUUAAAAGUCAGCUCAAUUAAAAGCAGAUAUUCAAGCUAUAGGUAUAUUUUAAAGGCCUUUAUGUUUUAUUCUCUUCUUGGAUUGUGUUUUUCUGGAAAAAAGGUUUUUUUCUUUUCUUCUCAGUAGACUUAAUUGUUUUUCUCCAUUUUGUCUUCUUGCUACUCUUGAUGCACACAUGAG